UCAGCGCUCUUGAGUGAGAUGAGACAGAAUCCAGUACCUUGGGCAGCACUCCAGAAUUCUGGGAUGUAGGACACAUGGUCUACUCCCUCUC
This 91-nucleotide microRNA precursor is filed under the name Vicugna pacos (alpaca). RNAcentral's name for it is "miRNA (ENSVPAG00000016748.1)". The record is from RNAcentral. Lineage: Eukaryota; Metazoa; Chordata; Mammalia; Artiodactyla; Camelidae.